AGAGUUUGAUCAUGGCUCAGGAUGAACGCUAGCGGCGUGUUUAAGAUAUGCAAGUCGAACGUCGUCUUGUUGGUGCUUGCACUAACAAGAUGUAGUGGCGGACGGCUGAGUAACACGUAGGAACCUACCCCUCGGUAGAGGAUAGCCCCGGGAAACCGGGGGUAAUACUUUAUAGUCUUGCAAAAGUAAAGGGCGUAACUGCUCGCCAAGGGAGGGGCCUGCGGCCUAUCAGGUUGUUGGUGGGGUAAUGGCCUACCAAGCCUAUGACGGGUAGCUGACCUUAUGAGGGUGAUCAGCCAGAGGAGCACUGAGACACGGGCUCCACACCUACGGGUGGCAGCAAUCAAGAAUAGUUGGCAAUGGGCGAAAGCCUGACCACGCGACGCCGCGUGCGGGAAGACGCCUUUCGGGGUGUAAACCGCUGUGGUAGGGGAAGAAGAUGUGCUUGCACAUUUGACGGUACCCUACUAGAAAGUAGCCGCUAACUUCGUGCCAGAAGCGUCGGUGAUACGUGGGCUACAAGCGUUAUCCGGUGUGACUGGGCGUAAAGGGUCUGUAGGCGGUCUUUCAAGUUACUUUUCAAAGCCCUCUGCUUACCAGAGGAAAGGGAAGUAAUACUGUUGGACUAGAGUUAUUUUUAGGGGAAUCGGAAUUCAUAGAGGAGUAGUGAAAUGCGUUGAUACUAUGAAGAACACCAAUGGCGAAGGCAGAUUUCUGGAAAAUAACUGACGCUGAGAGACGAAAGCUAGGGGAGCGAACCGGAUUAGAGACCCGGGUAGUCCUAGCCCUAAACGAU
This 796-nucleotide ribosomal RNA is filed under the name uncultured bacterium. RNAcentral's name for it is "bacterial SSU rRNA". It matches the Rfam family "Bacterial small subunit ribosomal RNA", at positions 8 to 810 of the family's 1533-position model. The record is from RNAcentral.